AGAUAAAGUAGCAGAAAAUAAAUUGAAAAAAGUAAAGGGAAAAAAAAGGGAGAAGUUGUGAUGCUGCUGUGCUACGGCACUAUGGCUCUUUCAAGCACGACUACUCUAACCUUUGAAAAGAAUAAUAGGUCGACAUGAUGCUUUGGGGGAAAAUGAUCGAGGCUCCACAGCUUGCGAUGCUUGCUGCGGCGCUAAAUGGAGAUCAGAGAAGAAAUUAGAACAGAGAAAAGGAUAGGCAAGUAGGUGGGUUAAGAAGAAAAUAGGAUUUGUAAGAAAUAAGAGAUAGGGAUGGUGGAGAAGUCAACGGCUGUGUG
This 314-nucleotide unclassified non-coding RNA is filed under the name Hevea brasiliensis (rubber tree). Lineage: Eukaryota; Viridiplantae; Streptophyta; Magnoliopsida; Malpighiales; Euphorbiaceae. The record is from RNAcentral.